RNAcentral lists this long non-coding RNA (1399 nucleotides) under Lynx pardinus (Iberian lynx). The record is from RNAcentral. Lineage: Eukaryota; Metazoa; Chordata; Mammalia; Carnivora; Felidae.
AGUGGGCCCCCCGCCGCCCCGCCCGAGAGCUGAUUUUCUGGCUGCCGCGACUGGAGAGUUUCAGAGGAGAGGUGCGCGCGCGCACGUCUGCCGCAGUUGUGAAAGGACUUGAAUUGUCCAGAGCAAGGAUGAAUGAGAUGUCCACGUGAAAGAAGGGUGUCCCCGCUUCCUGGCUGUUCUGGAAGGCGAGUGAGCCCGGGGCGCUGAGAGUGAAGUCCACUCCCCGGGGACACGGCGCGGGAGAGCGGGGCGGCGGCACGCGAGGCCAGCCGCGCGCAGCUGGGCGCCCCCCGCCCUCCCCGGCAGGUGCGCAGCGCGCCUGCGCGCUGGGGCUGCCGCCACUCAGCCGACGGGAGAGGUGGCGGCGCGCGCAGGGCUGCCGGUGCCGCGGCUCCCAGCUCGGCGGAGUCCAGAAGUCCCGUCCUGAAAACUUAGGAUUGUUUUAUUCACAGUGUUACUAUACCAGGAAGUCAUUUCAUCUUCUGUAACUGGACUCAGGGAGCUUAAAGAGCCCGUUCUCUCUUCUCCUCUCAAAACUGACUUACUGUUGCCCCCACCUGGAAGAUACUGAAAGCUAUUCACGCAGAAUAUAAGCUGUAGGCUUCCUCUGCCUUUUUCCUUCAUUUCGUUUUUAAAAUAAUUUAUUCUAGAAUGUAUACAUCUGGAAAUUUUGUGCAUUUAAAUUUCCAGGGAAGUGUUUGAUAAGCAGUAAUUUUUCUCCCGUACCUCCAGUCCAAAUACAUUUCAAGAUUAGGAGCAGAAAAUAAAGGCGUGUUAGUGAUUGGUUCAAGAUUUUAUACCGUGAACAACUACUGACUUUCAAUUAUCUGAUAAAAUAGAAAACAGCUCCCAAAGACAAAACUGACAAGUCUUUCUUCCUCUGAUUACAAAUAUAUGUCACACUUACCGGGAAAAUAUUAUUUUGAAUUUAACUGUUUGAUAUUGGAAAUCACUGAAAGGUUCACAUCGGUCAUAUUGGAUGAAAAAGAAUACAUAUCUACCUGAUUUUGUAACUAAAAAGAUGUAUUACGAGUGUAUGUUGCAGGUGGAUUAGAUGCCUUUUUAAAGAAAAAAAAACCCACUGUUUCAAAUGUAUUUUAUAUGAAAACAUUCUUUAUUCCAUCUCUUGAAAUUUGGAAUAAGACAAAGUUUUCAUGUCUGAAAAUCACAGAAGCUGUUGAGGGUAUGCUGUUAUUCCUCAUGUAUUUAAUGCAAGCUGUCUGCAUGAUAUCCUGACAUUAUUCUAUUAACUGAACUUGAAUGGAGCAUUUGUAUCUAUCAUAGAGUGAAGUAAUUUAUUGGUCACUGAUAAGUGAUAUGGCUGCAAUUUAGGAAUUGCAAUAUGGUGUGUUUUAUGUCUGCGUUGUCUUAAUAAAAACAAGAAGCGUUUAUAGAAAAA